AACGAACGCUGGCGGCAUGCCUAACACAUGCAAGUCGAACGAGACCUUCGGGUCUAGUGGCGCACGGGUGCGUAACGCGUGGGAAUCUGCCCUUGGGUUCGGAAUAACAGUUAGAAAUGACUGCUAAUACCGGAUAAUGUCUUCGGACCAAAGAUUUUAUCGCCCAGGGAUGAGCCCGCGUAGGAUUAGCUAGUUGGUGAGGUAAAGGCUCACCAAGGCGACGAUCCUUAGCUGGUCUGAGAGGAUGAUCAGCCACACUGGGACUGAGACACGGCCCAGACUCCUACGGGAGGCAGCAGUGGGGGAAUAUUGGACAAUGGGCGAAAGCCUGAUCCAGC
RNAcentral lists this ribosomal RNA (338 nucleotides) under uncultured bacterium. RNAcentral describes it as "bacterial SSU rRNA". It matches the Rfam family "Bacterial small subunit ribosomal RNA", at positions 29 to 392 of the family's 1533-position model. The record is from RNAcentral.